CGGAUCUUCAGCAGUGCAGUAGGCGUGCAGCGUUGCGGUCUGCGACCACUCUCCAGAAAACUUCUGACAAGGCUCGUAGAGACUUGGCCAUGUACAAUGCAAAUGACACGGACACCGAUCCCUGGAAAUGGUUCUGCAGUGAUAAUGCCUCCCUCUGGCAAAGCGAUGAAGCUCUUCGGACAGUCUGCCUUGUGGAUGCCGUCAAGUUCAUUCUUCAGACUUCCUGUUUCACCCUGUUAUCACUCACCCUGCUGGUCGUAGGAUGUUGCUCGUGCCAUAAUGGCUGGGAUACAAAACAUCGGAAAAGGUAUCCGUUACACACAGCUCAGUGGAUCCUCAUGUUACUCGUCUUCCUGCUCAAUCUGUUGUCCACGGCAGAGGGACUCCUCACCGACUUGUCCUUCCGUUGGAACGAUCUCCCUGGUGUGGCCUACCCCACCCAGCCACACCUCUAUGUGCCACCCCUCUCUGGCCUGGCGUUGGCCUUCGUGGCCAUGCUCUGCUACCACCACAUGGAGGUAUGGCGGCAGUGGCAGAUGGCCUGGAUCCUGCUAGUCAACUGGGGCCUGGCACUGGCCGGCGAGGUGCUUCACCUCCUAAGCCUCCUCAAGAUGGAGCUGGCGUCGAUCGAGGUGCUGAGAUUUGACCUGUCAGUCCUCUUCAUCGCUGCUUACUUUGGACUGGUUUCACUACAAGUCAACAACAUCAGGCUAAAGAUUUCCUGUUCCAAGGGAAAUGUUCACAAGCCUGAAGAGCCUGCUCCACCAAAGACCAUGAGGUUCACUGAAGAGUUCAGCAGCUUCAUCUCCGAGGUGACCUUCUGGUGGCUGAACUGGGUAUUUCGGCUGGGUUACAAACGGCCCCUGGAGAUAGACGACCUCGGCCAACUCCCGGAGGUCCACUCUGCUGGUUACAUCCACAAAGAUUUCAAGGCGGCCUUCCAGAAGGAGCAAGAGCGGGCAAGGUUCAAAGGUCACAAGCCAUCCCUGUGGAGGGUCUACUGGUCUGUGCACGGAUGGAGGAUGGUGUUUGCCUUGGUCUUGAAGCUGUCAGGGGAUAUGUGUGGGUAUGUGGGUCCCGUGGCCCUCAACGGUAUCAUCUUGUGGGUGGGGAGAGUCAAAGAUGGAUCACAGGUGGCCAGCGAACCUCAUUUCAUCACUGUAUCCGAGUUUUUCCAGCACGGUUUAGUGCUGGUGGGAAUCACGUUUAUCGUUGCCUGUAUUCGCACACUGCUAAUGCAGACAUACGAAUAUUGGUGCGCUGUAGUGGGGAUUCACUUUCGCUCUGCUGUCCAGACGAUGGUUUUUGAGAAGUCGCUUCGCAUCUCGACCUUUGUCAUCUCCAGCGGCGAGAUGACCACUGGGCAGAUUGCCAAUCACAUGUCGACAGACGCCGUGAACAUCUUCACCAUGAUGAUUUACAUUUGCUGGAUGGUAACGGUACCCGUACAGGUUUUCGUUACCUUGGCACUGCUGCUCGGUCAGAUUGGCUAUUCUGCCGUUCUUGGCAUGGUUGUGUUUGCAGUCUUUGUUCCCUUACAAGCUGUUAUUGGGAAGUAUAUGGCGAAGCUGGAGGAACAAACACUGAGUUUUGCCGACGUUCGCCUGAAGCUGUCCAGCGAGGUUCUGCAGGGCAUCAAGCUACUCAAGAUGUACGGCUGGGAGGACCUGUUUGGCAGGGAGAUCAAGAAGAUAAGGCAGUGGGAGAUCUGGACGAUAUGCAAGAUGAUGUUGUGCUAUGGGGUUAUAGGUUCACUGACAGAGGCAACACCACUCAUAGCAACAUUAGUGACUUUUAGCACCUUCACGGCCCUGAUGGGCGAGGUCUUGACCCCCGAUGUAGCCUUCUCCUCCCUCUCCUUCUUCAUGCUCCUCCAAGACCCUUUCUUCCUCUUCCCCUUUGCCCUGUUCUCCACUAUCAACGGUGGCAUCAGCACGGGGCGUCUCGCGGCAUUCCUAGCUGCGCCAGAGGUAGACAUGAAGACACUCAGUGCUGUCAAAGUGAAGAGGCAAAUGCACGAGGUGCGGGUGGGAAAUGGAAAUCACAUGCCAAACUGUGACGAUGAUGAUCAGGAAGAUCACAUCGAGGUGCCGCUGUUGAAGACAAAAGUGAAAAGAUGUAAGGAUUCCAGCGGAUCGCUGGUUUCCUCAGUCAGCCAAGAGACCAACAGCUCCUACGGUUCCAUGCUCAUGAAGUCCUCCAGCCUGGACUCACUGAUGGUCCUACCCAGUCACGUUGCAAUCAAGAUUGAAAAUGGCUGCUUUGCCUGGGAUCCAGAUAGAAAUCAGCCGGUACUUCAUGAUCUGAACAUCACUAUUCCAGCAGGAAAGUUGACAAUGGUUGUUGGAACAGUUGGAAGUGGCAAAUCAUCCCUUCUGUCGGCCAUGUUGGAAGAAAUGACACUGCAGAAUGGGGCCAUAGUGAUAAACGGAAGCAGAAACUCCAUUGCCUACGCAGGGCAGAAAGCAUGGCUGUUGAACAUGUCUCUGAAGGAGAACAUCCUAUUUGGCCAACCCUUCAACCACAAAAGGUAUCGUCGGGUCAUCUCUGCCUGUGCCCUGCAACCUGACAUAGACAUGCUGCCGGCCGGCGACCAGACAGAGAUCGGAGAGAAAGGAAUCAACAUGAGUGGUGGACAGAAACAGCGCAUCAGCGUGGCGCGGGCCAUGUACUCCAGAAGAGAUAUUGUGCUACUGGAUGAUCCGCUGUCUGCUCUUGAUGUCCACGUUGGAAGCCACCUGUUCCAGCAUGGUAUUAUGGGUAAUCUACUGAAAAAGAAGAAAACGGUCAUCUUGGUCACCCACCAACUGCAGUAUCUGGCCCACGCUGACAAGAUUCUGUUAAUGAAAGAGGGACGGGUAGCGCAGGAGGGAAUGCUAGAGGACAUCAUGGCGGCUGAGCCAGACCUCUACAACGGCUACCAGAAAGCCGUCAAGGAGAUGACGGACCUGGAGUCUGAGGCAGAGACAGACGGAGAGUCCAGGAAACAGGAGAUGAUGCAGAUCAGGAAGCAGAUCUCGCAUCAAGAGUCGAGCAUCAGAGACGAGGAGGUGGCAGAAACCGGCGAUGAGCGUGGUCGUCUGAUGGUCAAGGAGGAGAUGGAGCGAGGCUCCGUGUCUUGGAGUGUCUACUACUACUAUGCCAAGGCCAUUAGGCUUCCCAUAGCCCUUCUGAUACUGCUGGUAUAUCCCCUCCAAGCCGGCAUCAUCGCAGGGAAUAACUACUGGCUGGCCAACUGGUCUGAGGCGGGACUGAGUCCGGGAAACGCAACAGACUCAGCCUACUACGUCGGGGUCUAUGCAGCGAUAUCGGUAGCCGGUGUUUGUAAUUCCUUCAUCACCACGAUGACCACAGUCAUAGGUUUGCUCAUUGCAGCAAGACACCUGUUCAACCUCAUGCUGAGCAACAUCAUUCACAUGCCCAUGCGAUUUUUUGACACAACACCAAUUGGUCGUAUCAUCAACAGAUUUUCUGCAGACACACAGAUCAUAGAUAUGAAACUUACCAUGUGCUACGAUGCCAUCUUUUUCUACCUGACAUCUAUCCUGGCAGCCUUGAUUAUCAACGCCUACAUCAGUCCCAUCUUCCUUGCCACAAUUCUACCCUUCUGUGUCUUCUACUACCUGGUCCAGAAGGUCUUCGUCACAACCUCCAGAGAGCUGCAGAGACUUGACAGCGUCACCAAAUCACCCAUUUUUGCUUUCUUUUCCGAAACUCUUGGCGGGCUUUCAACAAUUAGAGCAUACCGCAAGCACCAAACCUUUUUUGACGGUAUCAUGGAGCGAGUGGCCACCAACAACACGGCUUACCUGUACCUGCAGGCAAGCAUGAGGUGGCUGGCUGUCAGAUUGAUCUGCUUUAAAGAUUGUCAAAGAACCAAGCUCAGGUGUCGGUGUACCUACAGCAGUUGGUCCGGUAUAUGGCGGAGACUGAGAUGCAGAUGAAUGCUGUUGAGAGGGUGAAGCACUACACGACACUCACAACAGAAUCGUACGAAGGGAUGGAACCGCCAUUUCAUUGGCCAACAAGGGGAGCAGUCUCCAUCGAAAACAUCUCGGUGAGGUAUGGCGAGGAACUGGAUCCCGUUCUCA
RNAcentral lists this unclassified non-coding RNA (4091 nucleotides) under Acanthaster planci (crown-of-thorns starfish). RNAcentral's name for it is "aTP-binding cassette sub-family C member 9-like, transcript variant X3". The record is from RNAcentral. Lineage: Eukaryota; Metazoa; Echinodermata; Asteroidea; Valvatida; Acanthasteridae.